This 419-nucleotide ribosomal RNA is filed under the name uncultured bacterium. RNAcentral describes it as "bacterial SSU rRNA". It matches the Rfam family "Bacterial small subunit ribosomal RNA", at positions 30 to 448 of the family's 1533-position model. The record is from RNAcentral.
AUUGAACGCUGGCGGCAGGCCUAACACAUGCAAGUCGAGCGGUAGAGAGGUGCUUGCAUCUCUUGAGAGCGGCGGACGGGUGAGUAAUGCCUAGGAAUCUGCCUAGUGGUGGGGGAUAACGUUCGGAAACGGACGCUAAUACCGCAUACGUCCUACGGGAGAAAGCGGGGGGAUCUUCGGACCUCGCGCCAUUAGAUGAGCCUAGGUCGGAUUAGCUAGUUGGUGAGGUAAUGGCUCACCAAGGCGACGAUCCGUAACUGGUCUGAGAGGAUGAUCAGUCACACUGGAACUGAGACACGGUCCAGACUCCUACGGGAGGCAGCAGUGGGGAAUAUUGGACAAUGGGCGAAAGCCUGAUCCAGCCAUGCCGCGUGUGUGAGGAAGGUCUUCGGAUUGUAAAGCACUUUAAGUUGGGUAGG